Molecule: ribosomal RNA, 371 nt
Filed under: uncultured soil bacterium
Lineage: Bacteria
Description: bacterial SSU rRNA
Rfam family: Bacterial small subunit ribosomal RNA
Source: RNAcentral
AGAACGAACGCUGGCGGCAUGCCUAAUACAUGCAAGUCGAACGAACACUUCGGUGUUAGUGGCGCACGGGUGCGUAACGCGUGGGAAUCUGCCCUUGGGUUCGGAAUAACAGUUGGAAACGACUGCUAAUACCGGAUGAUAUCGAAAGAUCAAAGAUUUAUCGCCCAGGGAUGACGCCCGCGUAGGAUUAGCUAGUUGGUGAAGGUAAGGCUCACCGAAGGCGACGACUCCUUAGCGUGGUCUGAGGAGGAUGAUCACGCCCACACGUGGGACCUGGAACGACCGACCGGCCCAGACCUCCGUACGGGAGGCAGCAGGUAGGUAAUAGUGGACAAGUGGGCGACAACGCCUGACUCCGAGACAAGUCGCCG